This 460-nucleotide ribosomal RNA is filed under the name uncultured bacterium. RNAcentral describes it as "partial 16S ribosomal RNA". It matches the Rfam family "Bacterial small subunit ribosomal RNA", at positions 338 to 795 of the family's 1533-position model. The record is from RNAcentral.
CCUACUGGUGACAUCAUUGAGGCAUCUUGGUCAAUGGCCGUAAGGCUGAACCAGCCAAGUCGCGUGAAGUCCUCCUUCUCUCUUUUUUUUCCCCUUCUUUUCUCUUUUCCUCCAUAUAUCCACUGUUGGAUAUUUGCAUGUACCCUAUGAAUAAGCAUCGGCUAACUCCGUGCCAGCCUCCUCGGUAAUACGUAGGAUGCGAGCGUUAUCCGGAUUUAUUGGUGGUAAAGGGUGCGUAGGUUGUUUUUUAAGUCAGCGGUGAAAGUUUGUGGAUCAACCAUAACAGGUAAGGGGAAAGUGGAAGACUUGAGUGUGUUUGAGGUAGGCGGAAUGAGUGGUGUAGCGGUGAAAUGCAUAGAGAUCACGCAGAACUCCGAUUGAGAAGGCAGCUUAAUAAGCCAUAAAUGACACUGAAGCACGAAAGCGGGGGGAUAAAACAGGAGGAGAGAAAAGAGGAGUC